RNAcentral lists this non-coding RNA (27 nucleotides) under Gallus gallus (chicken). The record is from RNAcentral. Lineage: Eukaryota; Metazoa; Chordata; Aves; Galliformes; Phasianidae. RNAcentral also lists the same sequence under 8 other names.
UGGUGGUUCAGUGGUAGAAUUCUCGCC